RNAcentral lists this ribosomal RNA (274 nucleotides) under uncultured bacterium. RNAcentral's name for it is "partial 16S ribosomal RNA". It matches the Rfam family "Bacterial small subunit ribosomal RNA", at positions 523 to 796 of the family's 1533-position model. The record is from RNAcentral.
AUACGGAGGGUGCAAGCGUUAUUCGGAAUCACUGGGCGUAAAGGACGCGUAGGCGGGUUGGCAAGUCAGAUGCGAAAUCCUACAGCUUAACUGUAGAACUGCAUUUGAAACUGCUAACCUAGAGUAUGGGAGGGGGAGAUGGAAUUAGUGGUGUAGGGGUAAGAUCCGUAGAUAUCACUAGGAAUACCGAAAGCGAAGGCGAUCUCCUGGAACAUAACUGACGCUAAGGCGUGAAAGCGUGGGGAGCAAACAGGAUUAGAAACCCUAGUAGUCC